CAAAGUGCUGUGUUAAUUGAAGUUAAUAGUACAUAAUCGAGAUAAGUAUCUGGUUAACUAAAAAUAAAUGUCAAUUUCAUUAAUUUGAUAAAUGAAAUCUUAUAAAUAUCAUAUAGCAGGUAACACAAUAAUAGUGAAUUAUCAAAACUUGUUCUCUGAAAUAAUAAUAACUGCUAUAAGUACAACUUUUUAACAGUUGACUUCAGUUACUAUAAAAGGCAUAAACAUAGAGAAGAAAAAAACAUUGUCCUUAUUAGAGAUGACAUAAUUUUGUAUGUAUGAAAUUAGGAAAAAUCCAGAAAUUUAUCCUAAAGAAAUAAUUCAAAAAUAAAAAUUACAUAGAUGUGAAUUGUGGUAGUUUUCCUGCUAUGUGCUCUCAAUGCAGCCAAAUCAUUUUAAUUUCAUUAUUUCUUUCUUUCUUUCUGUCUUGUAGGAUUUCACUAUGUUGCUCACACUGGCCUUGAACUCACCAUCCUCCUGAAUACCUGGGACUGCAGGCCUGUGCCACAAUGCACGGCUCAUUGUUUUUUUAUUCUAUAUUUCCAUUAUAGUAUAAGAGAAAGGUGGAAACACAAUUUUCAUAAGCUGAACACAGGUGCCCAUGUGAUGCUAAUGCCUCUGGUCUGUAGAUCUCAAUUGGAGAACAAUUAACAUAGACAAAAGCAGUGGUCCAGAUGUAAGACAGAGCCGAACUUCCAUUCUAGAAGCACUGUUGGAAUGCUUUUUUGACUGGAAAUACCAGUAUCUGAAAUCUGGAGGAAUACGACAAGGGAAGGAGAUCCACAGCAGAUGGCUACAUGGGGCAGAGCUGUUGACAAGUCACAGCCCUCUUGAAAUAGGAGUUCUUGGCUGGGUUGUUCUCACAGCAAAGCUGAAUAAUAACCUAUCAUGUUAGGGUCACUCUUAACAAAAACCCCAGGAAUGACUUUCCUUCUGAAACUCAGCAAGGACAAAACGACAGAGGAGAGAACAGUCGUGCCAACUUUAAAGGAAAGGUGGUUUCCCGGAUGGUGAUGACUGUGCACAUCCUAUGCUCUGUCAUUAUGCCAUGGCAGUGGGACUGGAAUGAGAAGCAAUCGAGUGAGAAUCAUGAAACACAAUGAAAAGGUGAAAUGAGCCUGAGUGCCAAGAGCCUUAAAAGUAAUUUGCUGUCAACGUACCUUAUAUACAAUCAGAGAUAUGAUAAAUUGUGGUAUAAAGGUGUAUUAAGAAUUGUAAUGCAAUAAUAAUAAUAAUAAUAAGAGAAAAAAAUAAAUAUGUAAAUGCAAGGACUAAAAAAAAUACAAAAAAAGAGCAUUUGC
Long non-coding RNA from Marmota monax (woodchuck), 1301 nucleotides. RefSeq lists it as uncharacterized. The transcript has 3 exons. Lineage: Eukaryota; Metazoa; Chordata; Mammalia; Rodentia; Sciuridae. The record is from RefSeq and is a predicted model, not a curated record.